AUUGAACGCUGGCGGAAUGCUUUACACAUGCAAGUCGAACGGCAGCACGGACUUCGGUCUGGUGGCGAGUGGCGAACGGGUGAGUAAUGUAUCGGAACGUGCCCAGUCGUGGGGGAUAACGUAGUGAAAAUUACGCUAAUACCGCAUACGAUCUAUGGAUGAAAGCGGGGGAUCGCAAGACCUCGCGCGAUUGGAGCGGCCGAUAUCAGAUUAGGUAGUUGGUGGGGUAAAGGCCCACCAAGCCAAUGGUCUGUAGCUGGUCUGAGAGGACGACCAGCCACACUGGAACUGAGACACGGUCCAGACUCCUACGGGAGGCAGCAGUGGGGAAUUUUGGACAAUGGGCGAAAGCCUGAUCCAGCCAUUCCGCGUGCAGGAUGAAGGCCCUCGGGUUGUAAACUGCUUUUGUACAGAACGAAAAGGUUUCUACUAAUACUAGGAGCUCAUGACGGUACUGUAAGAAUAAGCACCGGCUAACUACGUGCCAGCAGCCGCCGUAA
This 500-nucleotide ribosomal RNA is filed under the name uncultured bacterium. RNAcentral's name for it is "partial 16S ribosomal RNA". It matches the Rfam family "Bacterial small subunit ribosomal RNA", at positions 30 to 523 of the family's 1533-position model. The record is from RNAcentral.